This 524-nucleotide ribosomal RNA is filed under the name uncultured fungus. Its description in RNAcentral is "SSU rRNA". It matches the Rfam family "Eukaryotic small subunit ribosomal RNA", at positions 569 to 1092 of the family's 1831-position model. Lineage: Eukaryota; Fungi. The record is from RNAcentral.
AGCAGCCGCGGUAAUUCCAGCUCCAAUAGCGUAUAUUAAAGUUGUUGCAGUUAAAAAGCUCGUAGUUGAAUUUCAGAAUCUGUCCAUCGGUCGGGCUUCACUGUCCGUACUGGUGUGGUGGGUUCUUACCUUCUGAAUAACCAGCAUGCCAUUCACUUGGUGCGUUGGGGAAGCAGGACUAUUACCUUGAAAAAAUUAGAGUGCUCAAAGCAGGCUAGUGCCUGAAUACAUUAGCAUGGAAUAAUAAAAUAGGACGGCAUGGUUCUAUUUUGUUGGUUUCUAGGAUCACCGUAAUGAUUAAUAGGGAUAGUUGGGGGCAUUAGUAUUCAAUUGUCAGAGGUGAAAUUCUUGGAUUUAUUGAAGACUAACUUCUGCGAAAGCAUUUGCCAAGGAUGUUUUCAUUAAUCAAGAACGAAAGUUAGGGGAUCGAAGACGAUCAGAUACCGUCGUAGUCUUAACCAUAAACUAUGCCGACUAGGGAUCGGACGAUGUUAAUUUUUUAAUGACUCGUUCGGCGCCUUACG